This 301-nucleotide ribosomal RNA is filed under the name uncultured bacterium. RNAcentral's name for it is "partial 16S ribosomal RNA". It matches the Rfam family "Bacterial small subunit ribosomal RNA", at positions 509 to 807 of the family's 1533-position model. The record is from RNAcentral.
CAGCAGCCGCGGGAAUACGAGAGGGGCAAGCGUUGUUCGGAAUUAUUGGGCGUAAAGGGCGCGUAGGCGGUUUGACAAGUUUGGUGUGAAAUCUAUGGGCUCAACCCAUAGCCUGCAUCGAAAACUGUCGGGCUUGAGUAUGGGAGUGGUGAGUGGAAUUUCCGGUGUAGCGGUGAAAUGCGUAGAUAUCGGAAGGAACACCUGUGGCGAAAGCGGCUCACUGGACCAUAACUGACGCUGAUGCACGAAAGCUAGGGGAGCAAACAGGAUUAGAUACCCCUGUAGUCCCUGUCUCUUAUAC